RNAcentral lists this ribosomal RNA (275 nucleotides) under uncultured bacterium. RNAcentral's name for it is "partial 16S ribosomal RNA". It matches the Rfam family "Bacterial small subunit ribosomal RNA", at positions 85 to 354 of the family's 1533-position model. The record is from RNAcentral.
UUUGAAGUUAGCGGCGGACGGGUGAGUAACACGUGGGUAACCUACCUAUAAGACUGGGAUAACUCCGGGAAACCGGAGCUAAUACCGGAUAACAUUUAGAACCGCAUGGUUCUAAAGUGAAAGAUGGUUUUGCUAUCACUUAUAGAUGGACCCGCGCCGUAUUAGCUAGUUGGUAAGGUAACGGCUUACCAAGGCGACGAUACGUAGCCGACCUGAGAGGGUGAUCGGCCACACUGGAACUGAGACACGGUCCAGACUCCUACGGGAGGCAGCAG